AUCGAUGAAGAACGCAGCGAAAUGCGAUAAGUAAUGUGAAUUGCAGAUUUUCAGUGAAUCAUCGAAUCUUUGAACGCACCUUGCGCUCCUUGGUAUUCCGAGGAGCAUGCCUGUUUGAGUGUCAUU
RNAcentral lists this ribosomal RNA (126 nucleotides) under uncultured Atheliaceae. RNAcentral's name for it is "5.8S ribosomal RNA". It matches the Rfam family "5.8S ribosomal RNA", at positions 32 to 154 of the family's 154-position model. From Rfam's summary of the family: 5.8S ribosomal RNA (5.8S rRNA) is a component of the large subunit of the eukaryotic ribosome. It is transcribed by RNA polymerase I as part of the 45S precursor that also contains 18S and 28S rRNA. The record is from RNAcentral. Lineage: Eukaryota; Fungi; Basidiomycota; Agaricomycetes; Atheliales; Atheliaceae.